GCGGUCGUAGCUCAGCUGGUAGAGUGCUAGGUUGUGGUCCUGGAUGUCGCGGGUUCGAGCCCCGUCGAUCGCCCCA
RNAcentral lists this transfer RNA (76 nucleotides) under Bdellovibrionales bacterium. RNAcentral describes it as "tRNA-His". It matches the Rfam family "tRNA". Rfam says of the family: Transfer RNA (tRNA) molecules are approximately 80 nucleotides in length. Their secondary structure includes four short double-helical elements and three loops (D, anti-codon, and T loops). The record is from RNAcentral. Lineage: Bacteria; Pseudomonadati; Bdellovibrionota; Bdellovibrionia; Bdellovibrionales.